AACUGCAAGUAACACAGCUCAGUGGGGUUUUUGUUUCUCCUCAGAGUUACAGCCAAACUUAUGAUCUGCAUAUAUUCUAUUUUUUUACCAUUUUGCCCUGUAAUAUUGUAUAUGCUUUGUGCUUCCUGUAAAGAUGCAGGUUGGUACAACAACCCAAAAUGGAAAAAGAAACGAAACAGAUCGUGCCAGAGGACCCAGGUCUCGUCCCUGCUGAUGAUGUGUGAGAGGAAGCCCUCACCUUCAUCCCAUACAUGUGGCAGAAGCCAGGUACACACUUGCACAUGUGGUCAUCUAUGCACAUCUGUCAGCUGUUCUGGCACCCAAUGGGCAUACACUUUCCAAUAAUUAAGCAGAAAAGAGGAUGAAACCCUGAUGGCACAGUGGGGGAUGGUUCCAAAUAUGUGCCAAGUAGAAGAACCAGCUAGAUUGCGUUGCUGCUGUGCCUGAUUAUGACAGUUUUAAAAUGCAUGCGCUCCAUGAGAGUGCAUCUGAGAGUUCCUACACUGAUUAAAGGAAUAACUCCCUAUUCCUCUACUACAAGAGGGCAAUCUGUUAAUCAGACUUUUAUGCUACAAGUAUUUGUACUUCCUACUUAUCCAGCUGGUUGGUAAGGAAAGCUCUAGGGGGUGCUGAGAGGGAAGGGAAUACAUGCUAGAUGAUCUGUUCAGGUCCCUCCUGACCCUAGCUACUAUGAAACUAUGCUCCCAAGUGCAGUAGAUGGUAUAAUUUUAAUUAAUUAAUUCAGUCAGUUGAAGACAUUCCAUUUCUGUACACUGUUGAGUUUAGCACUGAAAUAAGGUAUUCAUUUACCUGAGAUCCAAAGCAAGUACAUUAAGCAUGAUAUCAUCUCUUUGUUGUGAAACUACAUUGCUAGAGCACACUUCUGCAAAACAGACACAAAGUGACAUUUCAAGGUAUUUGAUAGUCUCUUUCCAUAAUCCUCUCCCUCACUCUUCUUUUUUUUUUUUAAAUACUUGACAGUCAGUGUAGUGACAUGAGGCUGAAUAAGAAAAAGCAAGAACAAUACUGUCUAUUCAAGACUGAGCUUGAUGGGGAAUGUAGGUUAUCAGCUUUGACAUUACCAAGCAUUAGAACUAUUCUUUUGGGGACAAAUUCUACUCUCACUUACACUAGUGUCAAUCCAGAGUAACUCAGCUGAGGUCAAACCAAAGUAACUCAGAGCAAAAUUUGCCCACUGCCUUUGUCUGCAAUCCCCACUGGCAUGUCCACUGAUUCUGUUAGCAAGCCUCUGGUGGUUUCCAGUGUGUUUACCACCAAAUUAACUAAACCUAUGACUGACAGGAUAGGAUUUUUUGAUACAGUCCCCUAGUACAAACAAGGUCUUUAUGUUUUGUGUUGGACUUGUUUGCUAGAAAAAAACAAAUAAUUUAGGAGAUGCCCUAAUUAUUAUUCUUAGAUACUUAUAUGACCUCUAUUCCCAUAAUAUCCAAGUACCUCACAUUCUUGUAUGUAUUUAUCUUCUCAGUCCUGUUCUGAGAUAUGGAGGUGCUCUUAUUGCCAUUAUAUAGUUAGAGAACUGACAUACAGAAAGACUAAGGGUCAGAUUUGUAAAGGUAUUCAGGCACAUAAUGGGAUUUUCACAAGUGUCUAAGUGCCUAAGUGCCAGCGGGAGUUGGAUACCCAAUAGCUUUUGGCACCAAUAUGCAUCUUUAGGUACUUAAAUAUCCAUAAAAGUCAGGCAUAGCUAGUAGAGGUGCACCGAUACAUCGAUCCGAUAUCGGAUCCGCACUGAUAUAAAGAAAAUUGGCUGUAUCGGACAUUGGCCUGAUGUAGCCAAUAAUUUGGCUGAUAAAUGCUGUGAGUGCA
Molecule: long non-coding RNA, 1827 nt
Organism: Alligator sinensis (Chinese alligator)
Lineage: Eukaryota; Metazoa; Chordata; Crocodylia; Alligatoridae
Exons: 3
Source: RefSeq, a predicted model, not a curated record